AUUGGUUUUAUUUUUUAUUUAAUGCAAGAAUAUAAGUAUAGUACCUUUUGUAUCAGGGUUAUUUAAUUAAGCAAGUAAUUAUGUUUCUCGAUAUUAAUUAAGUUAAAUAAAUUACUAUAUGUUGAAAGAUUAUGUGUAUUUAUUUAGUAGUGAAAAUUUUUCGUAAUUAAAGGUAUCUAGUUACCAGGUAAUUAUUAAAAGGGAUAAGCUUUUUAUCACGGUAUAUUUUGAAGGCUAUGUAGUAAAUUAGGCUUAAGAUUAGCCGUAUUAAUAAGUUGUUUAAAAUUUUUUAUGGGUCUUAGUGAAGUAAAUUGUUUUUUAUAGGUAACUUAUUGUUAUAAUGAAAUUAUAUUUAUAAUGAAUAAAUUAGUAUUUUUUUUUUGUUGUUAGAUAUAACUCGAGUGUUGUAGAAUAGUUUAUCAAAAACAUUUUUUUACUGGUGUAAAAUAAGGCCUGCCCAGUGUGAGAUAAACGGCUGCGGUAUUUUGACUGUGCUAAGGUAGCAUAAUAAUUUGUUUUUUAAUUGAAAACUGGGAUGAAAGGUUUUAUCUAUAAUAAGUUUUAUUUGCAGUAAAAAUAAUUUAUAUUUUCGGUAAAAAUACCGUAAUUAGAUAAAGUGACGAUAAGACCCUAUAAGCUUUAUUUAUUGGGCAAGAAAACUAAGGAUUUAGUGUUUUUUUGUUUUGUUAAUUUUACUGGGGCAGUAAUAUUAUUUGAUUUAAUAUAUUUAUAUGACAUGGUUGAAUGAGUGUAUGAUCUUUUUAUAAAGAUAAUUAGCGUAAGUUACUGUAGGGAUAACAGCGUAAUAAUUUCAGAAAGGUCUUAUUGAUGAGAUUGAUUGCGACCUCGAUGUUGAAUUAAAAUUUCUUUUUGUUGCAGAAGGCAGAGGAGAAGGUUUGUUCAACCUUUAAAUUUUUACAUGAUUUGAGUUCAAAUCGGUUUAAGCCAGAUUGGUUUCUAUCUUUUAUGAGAUAAAUUUUGUGUAAGUACGAAAGGGACACAUAAAGUUU
Molecule: ribosomal RNA, 1010 nt
Filed under: Pseudoniphargus pedrerae
Lineage: Eukaryota; Metazoa; Arthropoda; Malacostraca; Amphipoda; Allocrangonyctidae
Description: 16S ribosomal RNA
Rfam family: Archaeal large subunit ribosomal RNA (bases 794-952)
Source: RNAcentral